Canis lupus familiaris (dog) is the source of this 62-nucleotide non-coding RNA. Lineage: Eukaryota; Metazoa; Chordata; Mammalia; Carnivora; Canidae. The record is from Rfam.
UAGGGGAGUCGGGGUUCGGCACCCCUUCCUGAGCCCAGGGUAACUCUCAGAGUGGAGGGGCA